UAGGGAAUCUUCGGCAAUGGACGAAAGUCUGACCGAGCAACGCCGCGUGAGUGAAGAAGGUUUUCGGAUCGUAAAACUCUGUUGUUAGAGAAGAACAAGGACGUUAGUAACUGAACGUCCCCUGACGGUAUCUAACCAGAAAGCAACGCCUAACUACGUGCCAGCAGCCGCGGUAAUACGUAGGUGGCAAGCGUUGUCCGGAUUUAUUGGGCGUAAAGCGAGCGCAGGCGGUUUCUUAAGUCUGAUGUGAAAGCCCCCGGCUCAACCGGGGAGGGUCAUUGGAAACUGGGAGACUUGAGUGCAGAAGAGGAGAGUGGAAUUCCAUGUGUAGCGGUGAAAUGCGUAGAUAUAUGGAGGAACACCAGUGGCGAAGGCGGCUCUCUGGUCUGUAACUGACGCUGAGGCUCGAAAGCGUGGGGAGCAAACAGG
This 429-nucleotide ribosomal RNA is filed under the name Gemmatimonadota bacterium. RNAcentral's name for it is "Gemmatimonadetes bacterium partial 16S ribosomal RNA". It matches the Rfam family "Bacterial small subunit ribosomal RNA", at positions 355 to 776 of the family's 1533-position model. The record is from RNAcentral. Lineage: Bacteria; Pseudomonadati; Gemmatimonadota.